CCAAUAGCGUAUAUUAAAGUUGCUGCAGUUAAAAAGCUCGUAGUUGAAUUUCGGGACCAUCAUGUCGGUCGUGCCUCGGUACGUACUGGUAUUGUUGGUUUCUCCCUUCUGACGAACCAUGAUGUCAUUUAUUUGGUGUUGUGGGGAAUCAGGACUGUUACUUUGAAAAAAUUAGAGUGUUUAAAGCAGGCUCACGCUUGAAUACAUUAGCAUGGAAUAAUGAAAUAGGACGUUUGAUUCUAUUUUGUUGGUUUCUAGGAUCGACGUAAUGAUUAAUAGGGAUAGCUGGGGGCAUUAGUAUUCAAUUGUCAGAGGUGAAAUUCUUGGAUUUAUUGAAGACUAACUACUGCGAAAGCAUUUGCCAAGGAUGUUUUCAUUAAUCAAGAACGAAAGUUAGGGGAUCGAAGACGAUCAGAUACCGUCGUAGUCUUAACCAUAAACUAUGCCGACUAGGGAUCGGAUGAUGUUAAUUUUUUAAUGACUCAUUCGGCGCCUUACG
Molecule: ribosomal RNA, 499 nt
Filed under: uncultured Glomeromycotina
Lineage: Eukaryota; Fungi; Glomeromycota
Description: partial small subunit ribosomal RNA
Rfam family: Eukaryotic small subunit ribosomal RNA
Source: RNAcentral